This 1060-nucleotide unclassified non-coding RNA is filed under the name Hevea brasiliensis (rubber tree). Lineage: Eukaryota; Viridiplantae; Streptophyta; Magnoliopsida; Malpighiales; Euphorbiaceae. The record is from RNAcentral.
AGAAACACUACUCCACACCCUUCUUUUUUUUUCUUCCGUCUGUCUCCAUUUGAUAUGAUAUAUAUAUUACAACAACAAUUAUUCAUAGUAUAGAAAAAAUAUCCGAAAAAAUGGGAAGAGGAAGAGUCCAGUUGAAGCGAAUAGAGAACAAAAUUAACCGUCAAGUUACCUUCUCGAAACGUCGAUCUGGUUUGCUGAAGAAAGCCCAUGAGAUCUCUGUGCUUUGUGAUGCUGAGGUUGGUUUGAUUGUUUUUUCUACUAAAGGAAAACUCUUUGAAUAUGCCAACGAUUCCUGCAUGGAGAGGAUACUUGAAAGAUAUGAAAGAUACUCAUUUGCUGAGAAACAGCUUGUUCCUACUGAUCAUACCUCCCCGGUAAGCUGGACCCUUGAACAUGCAAAACUUAAGGCCAGACUUGAGGUUCUGCAGAGGAACCAAAAGCAUUAUGUGGGAGAAGAUUUGGAGUCCUUAAGUAUGAAGGAACUUCAGAAUCUGGAGCACCAGCUUGAUUCAGCUCUUAAACACAUUCGAUCAAGAAAGAAUCAAUUGAUGCAUGAGUCCAUUUCUGUGCUUCAAAAAAAGGACAGAGCAUUGCAGGAGCAAAACAACCAGCUUUCGAAGAAGGUGAAGGAGAGGGAGAAAGAGGUGGCACAGCAAAAUCAGUGGGAAAUCAACUCAUCUUCAUUUGUUUUGCCACAACAACUGGACUCUCCUCACCUUGGGGAAGCAUACCAGAGUACUAAUGUAAUAGAUAAUGGGGAAGUGGAAGGAGGUAGUUCUUCACAGCAGCAAGGUGCAGCUAAUAAUACUGUGAUGCCACAAUGGAUGCUUCGUCAUCUUAAUAAUUAAAAGGUAUCAUUAAUACUUCAAUAUAAUUAACUAGGUAUAUAAUUUUGAUGCCACAAUAUAUUAAUUAAAAGGUAUCAUUAAUACUUCAAUAUAAUUAACUAGGUAUAUAAUUUUGAUGCCACAAUAUAUUGUCUAUGUGUACUUGCUUUCAAAGACAUGCCACAAUAUAGAUGGAUUGUUGUAAAAACAUUAUAAUAUAUGUUAAAAAUAAA